GCCUAAAACCUAGCUUUACUUCCUCGCAUAAACACUCUUAACUUUUCUUCAACAAUAAAACAUUUUUAAUUAUUUAGUACAGGCGAUCAAAAAAUACCUUAAAGCUACAAAAAUAGUACCGCAAGGGAAAGGUGAAAUAGUAAUGAAAUAACUCUUAAGCCAAAAAAAGCAGAGAUAAAACCUCGUACCUUUUGCAUCAUGGUUUAGCAAGUCUAACCAAGCAAAACGCAUUUUUAGUUUGACCCCCCGAAACUAAGCGAGCUACUUUAAAACAGCUUUUAGAGCAAACCCGUCUCUGUUGCAAAAGAGUGGGAAGAUUUUAAAGUAGAGGUGAUAAACCUACCGAGCUUAGAGAUAGCUGGUUAUUCAGGAAAGGGAUUUAAGUCCUACCUUAAGUCUCCUUAUAAUUUCUAAUACUUCAAUAGACUUAAGAGCCAUUCAAAUAAGGUACAGCCUAUUUGAACCAGGGUACAAACUACUGCGAC
Molecule: ribosomal RNA, 485 nt
Filed under: Microhyla pulchella
Lineage: Eukaryota; Metazoa; Chordata; Amphibia; Anura; Microhylidae
Description: partial large subunit ribosomal RNA
Rfam family: Bacterial large subunit ribosomal RNA (bases 165-485)
Source: RNAcentral